Molecule: RNA transcript, 3806 nt
Organism: Ziziphus jujuba (common jujube)
Lineage: Eukaryota; Viridiplantae; Streptophyta; Magnoliopsida; Rosales; Rhamnaceae
Gene name: histidine-containing phosphotransfer protein 1
Exons: 9
Source: RefSeq, a predicted model, not a curated record
CUCAAUUCUCUUUCCAUCUUGUACACAUACUGUUUGGUUUCUGUGUGAGAGUGUGAGAGUCUGAGACAUUUGAAAAUGGCGGUUUGGCUUGUUCUUUUUCAGAAAGCUCCACUUCGCGGCUUCAUAUACUCCAUGUGCUCUCGACGAGGCAAGUUUUUGAUGACCAAUUCUGUCAACUACAAGCUUUGAAGGAAGUUCUUAGACAUUAUUAUGUUGUGAGAUCCGUCACUAUCUACUGCAUGUCUGAUCAAUAUAUAUUCUUCACUCUUUGAUUGAGCCAAGCACAUCAAGAAACAGGAUGUUGGUUUCCAUAGGUGGUCGUUUCUGCUGGUGAUCUGUAUGCAAGAACCAAUGGGUGAUGUUGUUCUUCUGUUAGUGAAGCGCCAAUUCUGCCAUAAAAAUGCUAAACUUUGUUUGCAUUUCGUACACUUGAUGAAUAUUCAGUGGCAUUUAAGGACUCCUUUAUUAGUAUUAUUUUUUUUCCCGAAACAAAGUAGGCAUGGUUUUCUAACUUCCAAGUGAAACGGGUUAAAAAAUUAAAGUGCUUUCACGUUUGAAGUUUAUAAUUUUUUUCUGUUCCCGAUUCCUUAUUUUCAUGGCCAUUACAAGUACAAAUGAAAAGAAAGAUUAUUGACAUAGAGACUUAUUUUCGGGGCCAUUACACGUGCAAAUGAAGAGAAAGAUUAUUGACAUAGAGACUGGUGAAAGGAAGCUGGAAACCAUCAUUGAUAAGGUUUGCUAUGACUCAGAUGGUAAUAAUCUGAAAAACACUAUUAUGAUUUUUGUGUUUGGUGGGGGCUUAUAUGUUGUAGUCUCGGCUUUGGGAAAGGAGGUUGUGAUAGGCGGAAUUUAUUUGUAUGCACAUCUGUUUCUUUAUACGUCAAUUUAUUCUCAAAAAAGCUAAAUUUUCUUUAAAAUCUAUGUUAUGCAUAAAAUUUUGUUGGAUGGCACCUGUAUUGAACUUGAGAUUACAACAUAUAUUAUAAGCUAUAGUUUCUUUCAUGGUAGAUGAUACUACAAAUACGAGCUAUGGUAAGAACACAUAAAUGCUCUUAAUUUCUUAUAAGGCCAACUCUAUCCAUUCAAGAACUGACUGUGCUGCUUUUUAUGGGAGAAGUAGCCCAUGUGAGUAUCAAAUUUAAAUUUUAUUUUGAUAUAUUUUCUGGUCAGCUCUGGGUGGAAAAAUGUUCCAUGCUUAAUGGAGAAUAAAACAGAAAUGUAUUGGACUAGCAACAUUCUUUAAGUAAGCUGAAUUAGAAGUUGUGAGCUUUGUAAAUGGAGAACUAUAUGCCCAGAUACACUAGUCAUAUUUAUGAGCUCUAAUACAGUUAGACAUGCUAACUGCUGCACAAGAAACUGUUUUGGGGUUUGUGCCUCGUUUUGGGUUUUCCUGUUAUAUAUGUAUUUUUUAUUCUAUAAAGCAAUGAAAAUUAAAAAAAUAAAAAAUUCAGCUGUCUUCCAGAGUAACUUGUUCACUUGAAUUUGUUAUAUGCCAGAUGAAAUAACUCAAAAAGAAAAAAAGAAGGUACAUGGAUAAAUAACUUCUUGUACCAUGGUUGUACUGGCCUUGCUAAAGGACGUGAUGAUCUUAAUGUUACAAAAUGGGUUCUUGACUAUCUUCAAGAUGCAACAGUUGAAGAUUGGGAAAUAUUUUGCAUAUGGAAUUGCUAAUAUUCAGUAGUGUUUGUAUUUUUCAAUUAAAUAUAUGUUUUUUCCUCUAGAGUGAAGGGAUAGUUUAAAUUUUAAAUUCUGUUGUCUUAUUAUUUUCUUCCUAUAUUCCUGUCUUAUGUUUAUCUAUGAAGUUUCCUUUUACAAUCUAUUUCCUUUGCUCUGGCGUUGCAGUGCAAGAUAUUAUGGAUUAGCGUUAAACCAUUAAACACCAUUCACCACUGUAGUGAAGUUAAUCUCGAAUUUAUUUUCAUAUUUUCAUUUGUCAUUUCAAAUUGCAAGUUAGACAAAAAUUUUAGAACUGACAUGGAAAGUCUGGCCCUUGAGAUCAACUUCAAGCUGGCUUAUGUUCUUCAUGAGGUUUGUUUGUCCAGUUUUAACAUAAGUAGACAAUUUAUUGUUGCUUGAAGCUUAUUAUAAAGAAUGAUACUAUCAAGUUAGUUUUUGUUAGCGAGAUGUAUAAACUUUUAAUACUCCAAUAUGUAUAAAUUACCACUAUUAAUAACUUAUUGAGAUUAACAUAACCUGCUUUUUGACCAAGCAAGUGAAAACUGAUCCUCUUGACAGCUUGUAUGAUUCUUGUUUUUUGUUGUUUGAAACUUAUUGUAAAGAAUGAUAGUAUCAGGUUAAUUUGUUAGUGAGGUGUUUAAAAUAAUGAGUACUCCAAAAUGUAUAAAUUUCCACUGUUAAUAACUUAUCCAGAUUAGCAUAAAAUUCUUUUUCAGUAAGUAAAUGAAACUGACCCUCUUUGACAGCUUAUAUGACUCUUGUUGUUUGCCAUGUGGCAUGGGUACUGCUGCUUUCUGUUCAAUAAAAUCACUAGGGACCAAACAAAUUGUUAUCAUUUCUGGCAAAAGUUGCAUGGGACCCACUUAAUAUGAUGUGGAAGUAGCACUACAAAAGAUGUAGACAAUCUUAAAGAGAAUGGCGGAUUAAGAGCUUUCUUUGUUGUUCUUGUCCAAAUUAAAAUAUCUGAAUCCCAAUCAUGGUAAGUAUAUAUUGAAUGCAAUUAAGCAGAUCUUGGGCUUAGGUUCCUUAUAAUUUUUUUGGAUUCAUGUCUCAUUUUUAGAUUUCCUGUUAUAAUAUGUUAUGAUAAAUUAUAAACUAAUUAAAUUGGUGAAUUCUCCUUUGAAGCAAAAUGUUAGGGUUUUUUUUUUAUUUUUUUUAUUUUUAUAUAUUGAUUUGCAACGUGAUUUGUUGUAUGACAUGCUAUUUCAAUCUCUAAAUUGAUCAAAGGAUGUUAUGUCGUAUUGGAUCAGGUGACAGAAGAAGAAAAGGUGAAGUAUUUGCUUUGCAUUAUUCUUUAAGGGGCAUAUAUGUUAAUUUGCAUUCCAGGUGUUAAUCCACAAGGCACCAUGCAAAACUCAUGGCAGUCUGAUAACCAUUGUUUAUCAAACCUCUCACUGAAGCUGUUAUAUCUCCAUGCAGAACUGUUUCAUUCUCACCAUGGACUACUUGAAGAAUAUGUGCAGUCACUAUUUGAUGAGGGGAUAGUAAAUGAUCAGUUUUCACAGAUUCAGACUCUAAAAAGUAUGGAACAACCUGAUCUUGUUGUGCAGCUGAUCGAUGCAUAUUUGGUUGAUGUGGAAAUGAUUUUAUCAGAACUUACAAGCUACAGUGAUUUUCCUGAUGUUGAUUUCUCCAAGGUGACUUUGCUGGCUCACAAAGUAAAGGAUAGAAGCUCAUGCAUUGGUGCUGAGCAUGUAAGACUUGCAUGUGAUGAACUCAUUCAGGCCUCUGUUCAGAUGAACAAGCAAAAGUAUGAAGUUUCGUCCGAGCCUUGAGUUGGAUAAAGAAAGAAUUUUCUUGUACCCAGGACAAGCUGGAGUCCUAUGCUCAGCAUGGUCAUGCAGAUGGAGCGUAGGAUUAUCAGACUUGAGAGCAGACAAAAAGGUAAAGCUUGUACACCAACAAAUUCUGCUUGAAGUGUGUAGUAGGAGAGCCAAGGGUGGGAGCAAAAUACCUAGCAAUUUUGAAUUAAAUUUGUAGAGCUUGCUGUUUCAUGUAUUAGUUUCAUGUUCUCGUAACUGAUACUUGUUUGAGAAUGGUCCCUUAGCUUAUGCAAUGAUCCGACAAGUACUUUCUAGAAUCGUAGACAUUUUCUCUGAAUUUUUUCUUUCUUUUUUUUUUUUUUUUUU